UCCAGUUUAUCCUGCUGGAGAUUGCGGCUAUCUGGUUUGCAAUUAGACAUGCAAGUUUUUCUGCUUCUUUGAAGUGGAAAGCGGACUGCUCAGUAACACGUAGCUAACCUGCCCUAAUGCUUGUGAUAUCCUCGGGAAACUGAGGUUAAUAACGAAUAGAGGACUUCUACUGGAAUGUGUUGUUCUUGAAAUUUUGUGUUAGGAUGGGGCUGCGGCUGAUUAGGUUGUUGGCGGGGUAAUGGCCCACCAAGCCGUUGAUCAGUAGGGGCUCUUAGCGGAGAAGCCUCGAGAGGGAAUCUGAGACACUAUUCCCAGCCCUACGGGGUGCAGCAGUCGGGAAACUUCUGCAAUGUACGAAAGUAUGACAGAGCAAGCCAGAGUGCUUUUCCAUAUAGGAAAAGCUUUUGUGAGAUGUAAAAAGUCUCACGAAUAAGGACUGGGCAAGACUGGUGCCAGCCGCCGCGGUAAUACCAGCGGUCCAAGUCGCAAUCGCUUUUAUUGGGUCUAAAACAUCCGUAGCUCGCUACGCAAGUCUCUUGUGAAAUCCGGCCUCUCAAGGGUCGAAGAGCAAGAGAUACUACAUAGCUAGAGACCGGGAGACGUAAGAAGUACGGUCGGGGUAGCGGUAAAAUGCGUUGAUCCUGACUGGACUAACAAUAGCGAAGGCAUCUUACGAGAACGGAUCUGACAGUAAGGGAUGAAGGCUAGGGGCGCAAAACGGAUUAGAUACCCGUGUAGUCCUAGCAGUAAACACUGCACACUAAACAUCGGAGCCUCUUCGAGAGGUUUCGGUGCUGUAGGGAAGCCGUAGAGUGUGCUACCUGGGAAGUAUAGUCGCAAGGCCGAAACUUAAAGGAAUUGGCGGGGGAGUAAACAACGAGUGACGCGUGCGGUUCAAUUAGAUUCUACACCGUGAACCUCACCAGGACCGACAGCAGGAUGAAGGUCAGUCUGAAGGGCUUACCUGACACGCUGAGAGGAGAUGCAUGGCCGACGU
Molecule: ribosomal RNA, 997 nt
Filed under: Candidatus Pacearchaeota archaeon CG10_big_fil_rev_8_21_14_0_10_34_76
Lineage: Archaea; Nanobdellati
Description: bacterial SSU rRNA
Rfam family: Archaeal small subunit ribosomal RNA
Source: RNAcentral